This 449-nucleotide long non-coding RNA is filed under the name Homo sapiens (human). Its description in RNAcentral is "HSALNT0371765". The record is from RNAcentral. Lineage: Eukaryota; Metazoa; Chordata; Mammalia; Primates; Hominidae.
AGUUUGUAAUCUGACACAGUACACUGCAGUUGUCUCCGAGGUGAACCUCCGGAGCCUUGGCACAGCUCGCUUCUAAAGCUUGGAAAUGACCCGCCACACCUGAAGCCUGCAGGUGCUGAGGCCACAUUCGAUCAGACCCAAGCUUUGGGAGACCGCUGGGGAAAUUUCCCACUUCCUCUCCUGAGACCAGGAACUCAGCAGAGAAACUUUGUGGAAUGGGAACAAUGGCAUUGAUUUCUUCUGCUUCCAGUCACAUAGUAUACGUGCAACUGUGUUACCAAGUCUGAAGUGCUACCGAAACAUAAAGUGUAGGCCAGCCUGUUGCAUCAGGUGAGACAGCGUUCAGCUGCAAGUAACAAUAGAACCUGCUAACACUGCCCUGCAGAGACGGGGCUGGCUUUUCUCAUGCAGAAAGUCAGAGGCCACCAUUGCAGGGUGGCAUGAGGGCU